CGACAGCAAUAUGAAGGUCAGGCUGAAGACCUUACCGGAUUAGCUGAGAGGUGGUGCAUGGCCGUCGUCAGUUCGUACUGUGAAGCAUUCCUGUUAAGUCAGGCAACGAGCGAGACCCACGUCCACAGUUGCCAGCAUACCCUCCGGGGUGAUGGGUACACUGUGGAGACCGCCGCUGCUAAAGCGGAGGAAGGAAUGGCAACGGUAGGUCAGUAUGCCCCGAAUCUCCCGGGCUACACGCGGGCUACAAUGGUUGGUACAAUGGGCAUCUACCCCGAAAGGGGAAGGAAAUCUCUUAAAGCCAAUCGUAGUUCGGAUUGAGGGCUGCAACUCGCCCUCAUGAAGCUGGAAUCCGUAGUAAUCGCGUUUCAACAGAACGCGGUGAAUACGUCCCUGCUCCUU
This 402-nucleotide ribosomal RNA is filed under the name uncultured Methanosaeta sp. Its description in RNAcentral is "bacterial SSU rRNA". It matches the Rfam family "Archaeal small subunit ribosomal RNA", at positions 937 to 1338 of the family's 1478-position model. Lineage: Archaea; Methanobacteriati; Methanobacteriota; Methanomicrobia; Methanotrichales; Methanotrichaceae. The record is from RNAcentral.